This is an RNA transcript of Cucumis sativus (cucumber), 2332 nucleotides long. It is a transcript of the gene named U-box domain-containing protein 4, with no coding region annotated. NCBI's taxonomy places the organism in Eukaryota, Viridiplantae, Streptophyta, Magnoliopsida, Cucurbitales, Cucurbitaceae. The record is from RefSeq and is a predicted model, not a curated record. The transcript has 5 exons.
GAAGUAUAGCUCGUUUUGAAAUAAGAAAUAGAGAAAUUGAAGAUGAUGACAAAAGCUUUAGAGAGUCAUCAUCUACAGACCACAUCUAAGAAAAAUCAGUGUGGUGUAUGGUGGGGGUUGUUGGGUUCCUUGGAGACGCUCCGAGUAAUGGCGGCAGUUUACCUUUUUUUGUUAAUAAUCAACGAACACACCCACUUGUAAUUUUCAACAAAAUUUGAAGCUGCUACGAAAAGAAAUUUCACAAGAAAGCCAACACGAAUUUCAGGAACUUAGCACCACUUUGUUUUGAUUUGGACACUGCUUGGAUGUUGGACCUGCCUCUGAUCAAGUUAUUACAGAAUUUAGGCCCACCAGGUGUCAGUGGACUAAUAGCUUGCACUAAGGAACUAUUGGGAGGUAAAGUCGGAGCCAUCAACUUACUUGACUUUGAUCAUACUGCUGACAGAAAUCAAAAUACCCGUCUCGAAUGCUGAUUGCAAAGAGUCAAAUACCAUGCCAACAGCCGUAUGAAAGGAUGGUCCAUGAAAUAGUUUCUUCUCCUGUACUGGAGGCUAUAUCUGACCACACUGGCAUUAAAGCCAAAGUUCAAAAGCUGGUUGAGAACUUGACGAGUGAUUCGCCCGAAACUCUAAGAACUAGUACAGCUGAACUACGGUUGCUCACCAAGAUUGAUGCGAAUAAUCGGACACUGAUUGCAGACUAUGGGGCAAUUAGCCUUUUGGUCAAUUUGUUAAAUUCUACGGACACUAAGAUUCAAGAGAAUGCUGUUACAGCACUUGUGAACUUAUCAAUCGACAAUAAUUGCAAAAGUAUCAUUGUUCAAGCCAAUGCAAUUGAGCCUUUGAUUCAUGUUCUUCAAACUGGUAGCCCGGAGGCAAAAGAAAACUCAGCUGCUACGCUUGGUAGUCUUUCCGUGGUUGAUGAUAACCAGGUCAAUAUUGGGAGGUCUCGAGCAAUAGGGCCUCUGGUUGACUUGUUGAAGGAUGGUACUCCUCGGGGAAAGAGAGAUGCAGCUACCGCACUGUUUAAUUUGUCAUUACUUUCCGAAAACAAGCCAAAAAUUGUGGAGGCUGGAUCAAUCAAGCAUCUUGUGAAGUUGAUGGACCCAGCUACAGGAAUGGUCGAGAAGGCAGUAACCGUCCUGGCAAAUCUUGCAUCAACAGAUGAAGGAAGGAUCGAAAUUGUACGUGAGGGUGGUAUUCCUCUGUUGGUUGACACUAUUGAGUUAGGUUCUGCCAGGGCAAAAGAGUAUGCAGCUGCAGCAUUAUUGUGGCUUUGUGGAAUCACGAGUAGAUAUUGCAUCAUGGCAAUCCAAGAGGGAGCUAUUCCACCAUUAGUGGCACUUUCACAAUCAGGCACAGCACGGGCCAAGGAAAAGGCUCGGGCACUACUCAGCUGCUUCAGUAGAAAUAAGCUCACAUCACAUUGCUAGGGGAUCGGAAGUGACUAAUUCAUAGACAUGGUUUGGCUCUUACAGCUUUGUUCAUGGUGUAUUUGCAUUCAGAUGGUACAUAUAUUGGGAUGUUGUUAGAUAAUUAUAGUUGCAGAAAGGAUUAAAAAGGGAAAGAAAACCAAAGACUGACAGGGGUUGGAUAAUUUUCUAUUGAUUCAUGCUGAAUAACCGACUUUGUUAUGCUGGUCUUCAGAAAACUGAUCGAUGAAAUCAUUGAAAUGUUCUUGUUUCUAAUGAAAGAAAAGGAUAGGAGAGCAUUCGUGAUAUUUUUUUGGGUUCCAGAGGGCACACACUUGCACUGUUGGCAGCAGAGUCCACAAUACUUCAAACACCUGUCCUUCACCCCUGCAUUCAAGCAUCUUACCCCACAUUUUGAAUCACAAACACCUUCUAAAAGAAGAAAACAAAAAGAAGGAAAAAGGUCAAAACAAUAAACCAGUUAAUCACUUGAACAAGGAGGAAUGAAUGAAAGGUUGUAGAGGAAUCAGCAGUGGCAUAUUGGAGGAAGAAUGAGCUCAGAAUCAAUGAAAGAAGAACCAAAGUGACGGAAACAGAUUUCAUCUUCUCCUUCUGCUUUAAGGUUAGUGUUCUACUGAUAUUUCAAUAGUUUCUAUCUGAUAUUUAUUGACUUGGUUUGAGAAGGGGGGGGGGAAUGAGAGAAUUAGAAAAGGUGUUUAAAGAAUGUUUUGUUAAUUGAAAAGUGGGGUAUGAAUCAAUAGGAUGACCCAUGAGGGAAAGGCAUGGCAAAAUGCUUAUAAGAAUGGUUUACAGCCCCAACUAGAGUGUAAAGAUGUAUGGUUUAGGUAUGUUUGGAGACAUGAGCUGUCUGCACUUCUUAAUUUUUCUUUUGUUAAUAUUUCUUUGGAAGGACACCAACAA